This 89-nucleotide transfer RNA is filed under the name Deferribacteraceae bacterium. Its description in RNAcentral is "tRNA-Ser". It matches the Rfam family "tRNA". Rfam says of the family: Transfer RNA (tRNA) molecules are approximately 80 nucleotides in length. The record is from RNAcentral. Lineage: Bacteria; Pseudomonadati; Deferribacterota; Deferribacteres; Deferribacterales; Deferribacteraceae.
GGAGAGGUGUCCGAGCACGGCUUAAGGUACACGCCUGGAACGCGUGUGUGGCAUAAUAUCCACCGAGGGUUCGAAUCCCUCCCUCUCCG